CGAAGGCAAGCGGAUCUCUUAAAGCCGUUCUCAGUUCGGACUGUAGGCUGCAACUCGCCUACACGAAGCUGGAAUCGCUAGUAAUCGCGGAUCAGCACGCCGCGGUGAAUACGUUCCCGGGCCUUGUACACACCGCCCGUCACACCAUGAGAGUCUGUAACACCCAAAGCCGGUGGGAUAACCUUUAUAGGAGUCAGCCGUCUAAGGUAGGACAGAUGAUUAGGGUGAAGUCGUAACAAGGUAGC
RNAcentral lists this ribosomal RNA (245 nucleotides) under uncultured bacterium. RNAcentral describes it as "partial 16S ribosomal RNA". It matches the Rfam family "Bacterial small subunit ribosomal RNA", at positions 1258 to 1500 of the family's 1533-position model. The record is from RNAcentral.